Molecule: long non-coding RNA, 1691 nt
Organism: Alligator mississippiensis (American alligator)
Lineage: Eukaryota; Metazoa; Chordata; Crocodylia; Alligatoridae
Exons: 3
Source: RefSeq, a predicted model, not a curated record
UCUAGCAGGAUAAAGACAUCUCUCUGUGUGAUAUAUAACCUUCCCCCAAGGUCAGGCUCACUCGUCUAACCCCUUAAUUGUAGGGCUAUAAGAAAAGGAAAAUGCUUGGGAAUCCUGCUGAACAUAGGUGGUUUGAAUUGGGACUGCCAUCUGUAGUAGCUCAGAUAGUCUUAAUCUCUCCUAGACUGACACUUGGAUAUGAGUCCUUUCAUCUAGAUCCCAGCACCCAUUCCAGUUGCAGAGAGAGAGUGCACCUUCUGAGAGCUUCUGAUCUGUAACUUCGGGACAGUGGUAGAAUGUAACCUACAAAUUUCAUACACGGUAGAAUUUUUGUUCAACUUCUGAUGACCAAGGAAACAGAUUGGAGCCAGCUGAUGAAUCCCACUGUGUUCUGACUGAUCAGCCUUAUUCAUGUUGGCUUCUCCUUACAGCUCCAAGUCCCUUCAUGUUUCUGCGUGUCUGUGGCAGCGGAGGUCGAUUGGCCAUGACUGCAGCCAAGCCGAGGCUCCCCGAUGGCGACCCAGAAGCACGUCAGGCACAUUGGGGAUGCUGGCCCCAGGUCCAGCCCAGCUAAUAAGGACCCACUGGGCCUGUCGGGCUGGGUGGAAUGUGGCAGCACAGCCUAAAACUGGCCCAGACCCAAAGUGCCUCGGGAUUGGAAGUGGCUGCGGCAGCACCGUGACAACUGCAUGUUGGAGGGGAACCACAGCAGCAAGCGACUCUCACCAUUGCCAGCUCAGAGGAGCUGGAGCACUUACCAGGAAGCAGGGACUGGGCCUUGGCAGUGGCAGUGGCAAUGACUGGAGGUGGGCCAGGAUGACCUGCAGACACAACAGCAUAGCUGUCACAGUAAUGGCUGUGGUGGCAUCCCUACUGGCUUAGACUAUAGGCUUUCCUUUGUUUGUAACAACCCUGGCCAUGUGUGACAGCUAAUGGCAGUACACCAGAACCUACAGUCUUCCAGAGCAGGGGGCAACCAAAGAACAAGGGGUCUGCAGUCAUCUCUACGUCCCAGGAUUACAGCUAAAACAGCUCCUUGGAACAAGAGGCAGCACUGGCUAAAAUACUGUUUAAAUUCAUAACCAGCACAAAGUGGAGUUCACAGGACACUGAAGAUUGUUUCCCACAACCUGAAACAGGCUGUCAACAGUACGUCUAAAUAUGCAUCACCAUGGUAAAAUACAGAAUUAAGAGUUAUAAAUUUGUUCUUAAUCAAAGGGCAUUUUCAUCAAGCUACAGAAAAAAACGCAAGGCCCGAGAAGCAAACUUUGGUGGCAGGAGAGACAUGUAUUCAAUCCCAAUCUGAACUAGACUUCCCUGUAUCUUAUAUGGGCUCUGCCCUUCUUAUUUUGGGAUUGGCUAUGGCUUGCAUCACUAAUCUUCACAUUUCACACAAUUAAAAAUCCAUUACAAUGCUGAACUGUCACCACAACCACAGAUGGCAUUGCAUAUUUUGCACUUACAUAAACUAUGUACCUAGCUGCACCUGUUUGGCAAGCUAUGCCUACCAUUUUCUGGAUGGAAACAUGCCCCAGUCUUGCUUGCUUUGUCUGAGGUGUGGCAACUUUCAUUUGACGGGGAAAAAGAAGAAUGCAGCACUUUCUAGGAAGUUUAUUGUGCAAACAAAAGCUAGUGACUGGAAACAAUUAAAAUAUGAUUCUUGCCACUGCCAGAUCUCUUUGCUGCUAAGG